RNAcentral lists this ribosomal RNA (320 nucleotides) under uncultured Prevotella sp. RNAcentral's name for it is "partial 16S ribosomal RNA". Lineage: Bacteria; Pseudomonadati; Bacteroidota; Bacteroidia; Bacteroidales; Prevotellaceae. The record is from RNAcentral.
GGAGUUUGGUCCGUGUCUCAGUACCAAUGUGGGGGACCUUCCUCUCAGAACCCCUACUGAUCGUCGCCUCGGUGGGCCGUUACCCCGCCGACAAGCUAAUCAGACGCAUCCCCAUCCCACAGCGAUAAAUCUUUACUCCUCAUUAGAUGCCCGCAAAGGAGAACAUAGGGCAUUAAUCCGACUUUCGCCGGGCUAUUCCCUACUGAGGGCCAGGUUGGAUACGCGUUACUCACCCGUGCGCCGGUCGCCAUCAUUGUGUGCAAGCACACAACAUGCUGCCCCUCGACUUGCAUGUGUUAAGCCUGUAGCUAGCGUUCAUC